AUACGGAGGGUGCAAGCGUUACUCGGAAUCACUGGGCGUAAAGCGCGCGCAGGCGGUCUUUUAAGUUGGAUGUGAAAGCCUACGGCUCAACCGUAGAACUGCAUCCAAAACUGUCAGUCUAGAGUGUGGGAGAGGAAGAUGGAAUUAGUUGUGUAGGGGUAAAAUCCGUAGAGAUAACUAGGAAUACCAAAAGCGAAGGCAAUCUUCUGGAACACUACUGACGCUGAGGCGCGAAGGCGUGGGGAGCAAACAGGAUUAGAUACCCCGGUAGUCC
Molecule: ribosomal RNA, 274 nt
Filed under: uncultured bacterium
Lineage: Bacteria
Description: partial 16S ribosomal RNA
Rfam family: Bacterial small subunit ribosomal RNA
Source: RNAcentral